ACGGCCUGGAUGUUGGGCAGGACGCCUCCCUGGGCGAUCGUCACGCCGCCCAGCAGCUUGUUGAGCUCCUCGUCGUUGCGGAUGGCCAGCUGCAGGUGGCGGGGGAUGAUUCGCGUCUUCUUGUUGUCGCGGGCCGCAUUG
This is a microRNA precursor of Chlorocebus sabaeus (green monkey), 141 nucleotides long. NCBI's taxonomy places the organism in Eukaryota, Metazoa, Chordata, Mammalia, Primates, Cercopithecidae. The record is from Ensembl.